Molecule: ribosomal RNA, 255 nt
Filed under: uncultured bacterium
Lineage: Bacteria
Description: partial 16S ribosomal RNA
Rfam family: Bacterial small subunit ribosomal RNA
Source: RNAcentral
ACGGGUGAGUAACGCGUGGGUAACCUGCCUUAUACAGGGGGAGUAACAGUCAGAAAUGGCUGCUAAUACCGCAUAAGCGCACAGAGCUGCAUGGCUCAGUGUGAAAAACUACCGGUGGUAUAAGAUGGACCCGCGUUGGAUUAGCUUGUUGGUGGGGUAACGGCCCACCAAGGCGACGAUCCAUAGCCGGCCUGAGAGGGUGAACGGCCACAUUGGGACUGAGACACGGCCCAGACUCCUACGGGAGGCAGCAUG